Molecule: long non-coding RNA, 1024 nt
Organism: Acromyrmex echinatior (Panamanian leafcutter ant)
Lineage: Eukaryota; Metazoa; Arthropoda; Insecta; Hymenoptera; Formicidae
Source: RefSeq, a predicted model, not a curated record
UUGUUUUUAUUAUAGUACUAUUAAACUAAACCCUCAUUUGCUAAUUGAUAAACCUCUCCUUGUAUUUAUUGUAAGUUUUCCCACGGUUGCACUUCGCCCUCUCCCCGAUUACUUGGAUUAAGUUCCAUGACAGAAAGCUAGAACAUACAGACGUACACAUCUGGCGUUAAAGUGCGCCCUCCCGGCACACUGACUCAGUUUGGGCCCUUUAAAUUAAAAGUACGUCCGUUUAGCGGAGCACGAGUUGAGGUUUCCACUUCGUCCUCCAUUCGAUCCCCGGCUCGUUAGGAGCCUCAGAACGAAGCGAAGUACCUCCCGAUUUGUGUCGAUUCUUCCCCACGGCUCCCUUACGGUCCGGAGCUUGGACACGACCAAAUCGGUCUAAUAAUUCGGUUUCUAUUGCGUUCACCCCCUCAGCUCCAUGCGGAGCUUGGACGUAACAGAUUGCUUAUCAUAUUAAAAAAUAAUCUUUCUUAUCAUAAACUUAAUGGAUUCGUAUCAUAUUACAGAAGUAUAUCCGAGAGUCAACAUAUUAAAUCAUCGGAUGAUAGCCCAAGAAAGAAAAAAAUGCGUUUGAAAAUCAAGAGAGUACAGGCACAAAAUAAAACGCUACGUGUAACAGUACGACAACUUUGUUUGAAAAAAAAGAAAAUUAAGAAGUAAUAUCAACCAAGAAGCUCAAGAAGAAGUGAAAAUCUCUCUGUGACUCCUUCAAAACACAUUGUAAAAAAAAGAAGUUAUCGAGUGGAUCUGUGGCUUCAUCAUGUAGUUCGUGAAUCCAUUAUGACAGCAUGCAAUUUCUUUUAGAUGUUCAACUAUAAGGCUUAAUGACAACGAACGCAUAGAACACUGAAACUCUAGCAAUGAAUGAUACUGAGGAGGCAGUGAAUAAAAAUUAUGAAAUGGAUACUAACAUUUCAUCCGACAGAUGUACCAGUAACUUAUCAGGAAACAGUGCUACCAGUAAGCGGAGGAGACUUGAUGGUGACGAUGAUCUACAAGACUUAGUGGAAACUUUAGUGAA